This 465-nucleotide ribosomal RNA is filed under the name Vreelandella stevensii. RNAcentral describes it as "partial 16S ribosomal RNA". It matches the Rfam family "Bacterial small subunit ribosomal RNA", at positions 338 to 795 of the family's 1533-position model. Lineage: Bacteria; Pseudomonadati; Pseudomonadota; Gammaproteobacteria; Oceanospirillales; Halomonadaceae. The record is from RNAcentral.
CCUACGGGGGGCAGCAGUGGGGAAUAUUGGACAAUGGGCGAAAGCCUGAUCCAGCCAUGCCGCGUGUGUGAAGAAGGCCUUCGGGUUGUAAAGCACUUUCAGUGGGGAAGAAAGCCUUGGGGCUAAUACCCUCGAGGAAGGACAUCACCCACAGAAGAAGCACCGGCUAACUCCGUGCCAGCAGCCGCGGUAAUACGGAGGGUGCGAGCGUUAAUCGGAAUUACUGGGCGUAAAGCGCGCGUAGGCGGUCUGAUAAGCCGGUUGUGAAAGCCCCGGGCUCAACCUGGGAACGGCAUCCGGAACUGUCAGGCUAGAGUGCAGGAGAGGAAGGUAGAAUUCCCGGUGUAGCGGUGAAAUGCGUAGAGAUCGGGAGGAAUACCAGUGGCGAAGGCGGCCUACUGGACUGACACUGACGCUGAGGUGCGAAAGCGUGGGUAGCAAACAGGAUUAGAUACCCCUGUAGUC